Molecule: small nucleolar RNA, 91 nt
Organism: Impatiens glandulifera
Lineage: Eukaryota; Viridiplantae; Streptophyta; Magnoliopsida; Ericales; Balsaminaceae
Product: small nucleolar RNA U61
Exons: 1
Source: RefSeq, a predicted model, not a curated record
AAGCAAUGAUGAUCUUUUUGUGUCUAAAGACUUGUUCUUUUUUGAAUUCGUCUCUGAUGGCAAACACAACCCUCUAAGAAGUUCUGAGCAA